AAAGGGGCUUCGGCCCUGAGUAGAGUGGCAAACGGGUGAGUAACACGUGGGUGACCUGCCUUCGAGCGGGGGAUAACGUUCCGAAAGGAGCGCUAAUACCGCAUAACAUCCUGCCUUUGGAAAGGUGGAGAUCAAAGCCGGGGAUCGCAAGACCUGGCACUUGAAGAGGGGCCCGCGCCUGAUUAGCUAGUUGGUGGGGUAAUGGCUCACCAAGGCUACGAUCAGUAUCCGGCCUGAGAGGGCGGACGGACACACUGGGACUGAGACACGGCCCAGACUCCUACGGGAGGCAGCAGUGGGGAAUUGUUCGCAAUGGGCGCAAGCCUGACGACGCAACGCCGCGUGGAGGACGAAGAUCUUCGGGUCGUAAACUCCUGUCGAGCGGGACGAAUGUUCCGCGGGCUAAUAUCCCGCGGAAGUGACGGUACCGCUAAAGGAAGCCCCGGCUAACUCCGUGCCAGCAGCCGCGGUAAUACGGGGGGGGCAAGCGUUGUUCGGAAUUACUGGGCGUAAAGGGCUCGUAGGCGGCCAACUAAGUCGGAUGUGAAAUCCCCAGGCUCAACCUGGGAACUGCAUCCGAUACUGGAUGGCUUGAAUUCGGGAGAGGGAUGCAGAAUUCCAGGUGUAGCGGUGAAAUGCGUAGAUAUCUGGAGGAAUACCGGUGGCGAAGGCGGCAUCCUGGACCGACAUUGACGCUGAGGAGCGAAAGCCAGGGGAGCAAACGGGAUUAGAUACCCCGGUAGUCCUGGCCCUAAACGAUGAAUGCUUGGUGUGACGGGUAUCGAUCCCUGU
RNAcentral lists this ribosomal RNA (792 nucleotides) under uncultured Acidobacteriota bacterium. RNAcentral's name for it is "bacterial SSU rRNA". It matches the Rfam family "Bacterial small subunit ribosomal RNA", at positions 71 to 841 of the family's 1533-position model. Lineage: Bacteria; Pseudomonadati; Acidobacteriota. The record is from RNAcentral.